Molecule: long non-coding RNA, 584 nt
Filed under: Oryctolagus cuniculus (rabbit)
Lineage: Eukaryota; Metazoa; Chordata; Mammalia; Lagomorpha; Leporidae
Description: lncRNA (ENSOCUG00000036339.1)
Source: RNAcentral
GAUUACAAAUUGAUGCUCAUGACCUUGAUAAUUUACUUGGAAAUGUGGCACUCAAACUCACAGCUGAAGAACUUAAUGCUCUAACCCCAAAUCUAUCAAUUCAUGGAGAAGAGAUUGAUGUUAGUGAUGUGAAAACUGUCCUGGACAAUAUGGGAAUAGAGCAAACACAUAAAGGAAGCCUGGAGCCAAUGAACAUUUUGCCAGUUGAUGGAGGAAUUAUUGAUGUUAGUAAACUGGACACUAUUUUGCAAAACAUGGAGAUGAAACUCACAGAAACUGAAGUUAGUGAUCUUAAGCAAAACAUGCCAAUUGAUGAAGGGAUUAGUGAUAUCAAUGAAGUGGAUAUUCUUUUGAAAAGGAUGAGGAUGAAUCUUGCUGAAAAGGAAACUAGUGAUCUGAUACAUAAUCUGCCAGUUGAUGGACUUGUUGAUGUCACUGAACUGGGCAGUGUUUUGCAAAACAUGGGAAUGAAACUCUCAGAAAUGGAAAGUAAAGAUUUAAUAGAGAAACUACCUGUUGAUGUUAAUGAGAAGAUUAAAACAACAAAGUUGAUGGAUGCAAUGAAAGCUUUUACUGGUGAGUGA